This 370-nucleotide ribosomal RNA is filed under the name uncultured Glomeromycotina. RNAcentral describes it as "eukaryotic LSU rRNA". The record is from RNAcentral. Lineage: Eukaryota; Fungi; Glomeromycota.
UUGAAAGGGAAACGAUUGAAGUCAGUCGUACCUACGAGUAAUCAACCUACACGAGCGCGAUUUUGUGGGUAUGAAGAGGUAAAACCUUCAUGGUUGCAAAUUGGUGUCCUUUGAGCGUACUUUCUCGUAUGGUAGGUUAACAUCAAUUUCGAUCGUUACAAAAUGACGGGAGGAAUGUAGCUUCGACUUCGGUUGAAGUGUUAUAGCCUCUGGUAGAUGUAAUGAUUGGGAUUGAGGAUUGCAACGGAUACCCUCUGGGCUAUUCGUCUGAUCUCUGGAAGYUACCUUGGUGUCGAAAGCAUGCUUACGACAUUAAGAAUGACGGCCAAAAGGUUAGAACGGAAUUAAAUUCGUUAAGGAUGUUGACGUA